Molecule: long non-coding RNA, 951 nt
Organism: Juglans microcarpa x Juglans regia
Lineage: Eukaryota; Viridiplantae; Streptophyta; Magnoliopsida; Fagales; Juglandaceae
Exons: 4
Source: RefSeq, a predicted model, not a curated record
AAUUAUUAUUCAACGAAAUUCUUCAUACUAAAGGCAUAAAGUAGGUCUUGGGUAAUUUAUUAAAAGAAAAAGUCUCAGAUAUUACACAAUGUAUGCAUGCUCAAAAUCUCUUUUUCUGAUGCAGUUCUGCCUGACUUUGCUCAAGUAUACAGCUUUAUUGGCGGUGUCUUUGAUCCAAAUGCUACUGGUCAUCUGCAGAAGCUAAAAAAGAUGGACCCUAUAAAUGUUGAAACAGUGCUACUGUUAAUGAGAAACCUAUCCGUCAAUCUGACCAGCCCUGAUUUUGAGGAUCAUUGUGGGGAAGAACCUGAUUAGAGCUUGUUAUAUGAUUCUGGUCCUUAUGUUGGCAAGUCUACAUAACCAUGUGUCUUAAAUCUUAACUUCUCGACACUAUUCCUAGAUCAGGUACUGCACCUCAUUAAUACUGAGAGGGUUGCUGUCAUCCUACGAGAUUGACAUAGACACAAUUACCUAUGGUGAAGCUGAUAAAGCCUUUUAUAAUGAUCCAUCCAAGAAUGUUGCAUAACAUGGUACAAAAAAUGAGAUCAAGUUUUUGUUCUUACCUUAUUUGUUGCGCUUGCGCUCUCUUCAUAAGUUUCUGCACAACCCACACUGAUUCCGCGAGGGAAAGGUGACGAUUCAACAGGUUGAAGUCCUUGAUGUUGAUGAUGAUCUGCUGCACUGGUUAGGAGUAGUAUUGCAUAUAGUGAGGCCAUUGGCUAAAUAGUUUAGCUUAUAAUUGUUUGCCAUUUUGGCGUCAUGUAUAUAUCUGACAAAAGAAUACGAAUUGGAUUAAGUGUACAGUGUCAAGACUUGUUGCUGUCAAGUUUUGGCUUCUUAGGAUUAAUUUGCUGAGAAAAUGUAGUAUCUUGUGUAUACCAGUGUAAUCCUGUCUCAAAUGUACUAAUUGGUGAGUUGCUCUGUAUAAUUAAAUAACUUUUGGUUUUUCUA